AGUUUCGUGGUCGAGUGGUAAGAACACUUAUCUCUCACUCUGGAAUCCGGGGUUCGAUCCCCGGUUGGGGAGCUA
Rhamnusium bicolor is the source of this 75-nucleotide non-coding RNA. The record is from the annotation of a GenBank genome assembly. Lineage: Eukaryota; Metazoa; Arthropoda; Insecta; Coleoptera; Cerambycidae.